Molecule: ribosomal RNA, 296 nt
Filed under: uncultured soil bacterium
Lineage: Bacteria
Description: partial 16S ribosomal RNA
Rfam family: Bacterial small subunit ribosomal RNA
Source: RNAcentral
AGAUUGAACGCUGGCGGCAGGCCUAACACAUGCAAGUCGAGCGGUAGAGAGGUGCUUGCACCUCUUGAGAGCGGCGGACGGGUGAGUAAUGCCUAGGAAUCUGCCUAGUGGUGGGGGAUAACGUUCGGAAACGGACGCUAAUACCGCAUACGUCCUACGGGAGAAAGCGGGGGACCUUCGGGCCUCGCGCCAUUAGAUGAGCCUAGGUCGGAUUAGCUAGUUGGUGAGGUAAUGGCUCACCAAGGCGACGAUCCGUAACUGGUCUGAGAGGAUGAUCAGUCACUACGUAGGAACUG